GACGAACGCUGGCGGCGUGCUUAACGCAUGCAAGUCGAACGGAAAGGCCCUGCUUUUGUGGGGUGCUCGAGUGGCGAGCGGGUGAGUAACACGUGAGUAACCUGCCCUUGACUUUGGGAUAACUUCAGGAAACUGGGGCUAAUACCGGAUAGGAGCUCCUGCUGCAUGGUGGGGGUUGGAAAGUUUCGGCGGUUGGGGAUGGACUCGCGGCUUAUCAGCUUGUUGGUGGGGUAGUGGCUUACCAAGGCUUUGACGGGUAGCCGGCCUGAGAGGGUGACCGGCCACAUUGGGACUGAGAUACGGCCCAGACUCCUACAGGAGGCAGCAGUGGGGAAUAUUGCACAAUGGGCGGAAGCCUGAUGCAGCAACGCCGCGUGCGGGAUGACGGCCUUCGGGUUGUAAACCGCUUUCGCCUGUGACGAAGCGUGAGUGACGGUAAUGGGUAAAGAAGCACCGGCUAACUACGUG
Molecule: ribosomal RNA, 468 nt
Filed under: uncultured bacterium
Lineage: Bacteria
Description: partial 16S ribosomal RNA
Rfam family: Bacterial small subunit ribosomal RNA
Source: RNAcentral